CCAGACUCCUACGGGAGGCAGCAGUCGGGAAUAUUGCGCAAUGGAGGAAACUCUGACGCAGUGACGCCGCGUAUAGGAAGAAGGUUUUCGGAUUGUAAACUAUUGUCCACAGGGAAGAUAAAAGACUGUACCUGUGAAGAAAGCCCCGGCUAACUACGUGCCAGCAGCCGCGGUAAUACGUAGGGGGCAAGCGUUAUCCGGAUUCACUGGGUGUAAAGGGAGCGUAGACGGCCAGGCAAGCCUGGAGUGAAAGCCCGGGGCCCAACCCCGGGACUGCUCUGGGAACUGUCCGGCUGGAGUGCGGGAGGGGCAGGCGGAAUUCCUGGUGUAGCGGUGAAAUGCGUAGAUAUCAGGAGGAACACCGGCGGCGAAGGCGGCCUGCUGGACCGCGACUGACGUUGAGGCUCGAAAGCGUGGGGAGCGAACGGGAUUAGAUACCCUUGUA
RNAcentral lists this ribosomal RNA (445 nucleotides) under uncultured bacterium. Its description in RNAcentral is "bacterial SSU rRNA". It matches the Rfam family "Bacterial small subunit ribosomal RNA", at positions 331 to 792 of the family's 1533-position model. The record is from RNAcentral.